RNAcentral lists this unclassified non-coding RNA (1183 nucleotides) under Hevea brasiliensis (rubber tree). Lineage: Eukaryota; Viridiplantae; Streptophyta; Magnoliopsida; Malpighiales; Euphorbiaceae. The record is from RNAcentral.
UUGAAUUCAGAUUGAAAGAGCUCCUAGGAUUUCGGGUUCAUGGAACUUGGGACUCCCAUUGCAGCCUUGCAAGUGCUGCAGCACAGGUACGUUGAUGGCCUUAUAGCCUUGCAGGGUUUAUCCUGCAGCACUUUAGGCUGUAAGGUUGCCUUGCUAUACUUGGCCGGCUGGAGUUGCAAAUAUGGACUCGCGCGUUUCUAGCAUUAACCACUAAUGGUACUAAUUGAUUAAUGAUUAUCAUGGCAAAUCAAGUUUAAAUUAUUGAGAGCGAGCUCUGUAUGUAGUUCAACUUGUACAUGGUUAUUUCUUACCAAAGAUUUCUUCUUCUUCUUCUGUCACAAUAAGUUGCGUUUCUGAGUUUUUCUAUCCUUUUGAUCUAUAAACACUUAAAUCUUGAGAAAAUUUAACUUACUAAUUUCUUUGAACAAACUUACUCAAAUACAACUGAAUAUUCAAAAUAUAAUCUGACACUAAUCUCAACUUAUAGCCCACAUGGAGAUAAAUAAAAGAAUGAACUGAAAAUAACUAAACGCCCAACCCAUCCAUUCAUAUUAAGCUAAGCUACUGCUCCUACAUUCUUGACUAUAACAUCACUCUCCCCAUCGUCUUCGGACUUGUCCUCAGGCUCAAGGGAUGGAUAAGGGUUGGACAUGACUAAAACAUCUUUCCAAAACGGAAUUUGCUCGUGAAAGUCCCUCCCUACCUCACAAGGAUGAUAAUACUGCAAAGGCUAAACGCCAUGUAGAUGCUUCCCCUGGCUGUUAUGCAAAGGCACAAACUCAUGGCAGAGAAGUCUCAACAGAUGAGGCCAAGAGUUCGUAGCCAAUCAACUGACAACACGCUCCAAAACCACUCAAGGAUAACAGAACUAAAUCCAAAUACCAAAUGCAAAGGAAUUGCACACGACAUAUCCCCUCUCUUCAUUACCUACCUGUACAUGCAAUUCUUCGCUCCUUGCAAUCCGAAGCUACAGCUAGGUACCCUAGUCAAUUACACAAUCAUGGAAUAGCCUCCAGUGUGUCCUUAAACCUGCAAGACGUGGCAGAGGCAUGUGCAAUCUCAUCAUAAGAUGAAUAAAAUUUAAUGGUUCUCCAAUUCUUUAUUGGAUGCCUCACUCUCUUACACUGUUAGAUGCUCCUAAAUUCCUUCUAAUCCGAAUAGCUUUUUAUAUAGAUAGAUAACU